AACGAACGCUGGCGGCAUGCCUAACACAUGCAAGUCGAACGAGACCUUCGGGUCUAGUGGCGCACGGGUGCGUAACGCGUGGGAACCUUCCCUUAGGGUCGGAAUAACUCCCCGAAAGGGGUGCUAAUACCGGAUAAUGUCUUCUGACCAAAGAUUUAUCUCCUUUGGAUGGGCCCGCGUUGGAUUAGCUAGUUGGUAGGGUAAAAGCCUACCAAGGCGACGAUCCAUAGCUGGUCUGAGAGGAUGAUCAGCCACACUGGGACUGAGACACGGCCCAGACUCCUACGGGAGGCAGAAGUGGGGAAUAUUGGACAAUGGGCGAGAGACUGAUGCAGCAAUGCCGCGUGAGUGAUGAAGGCCUUAGGGUUGUAAAGCUCUUUUACCCGGGAUGAUAAUGACAGUACCGGGAGAAUAAGCUCCGGCUAACUCCGUG
This 433-nucleotide ribosomal RNA is filed under the name uncultured bacterium. RNAcentral describes it as "partial 16S ribosomal RNA". It matches the Rfam family "Bacterial small subunit ribosomal RNA", at positions 29 to 507 of the family's 1533-position model. The record is from RNAcentral.